RNAcentral lists this ribosomal RNA (253 nucleotides) under uncultured bacterium. RNAcentral's name for it is "partial 16S ribosomal RNA". It matches the Rfam family "Bacterial small subunit ribosomal RNA", at positions 524 to 776 of the family's 1533-position model. The record is from RNAcentral.
UACGGAGGGGGCUAGCGUUGUUCGGAAUUACUGGGCGUAAAGCGCACGUAGGCGGCUUUGUAAGUUAGAGGUGAAAGCCCGGGGCUCAACUCCGGAAUUGCCUUUAAGACUGCAUCGCUAGAAUUAUGGAGAGGUAAGUGGAAUUCCGAGUGUAGAGGUGAAAUUCGUAGAUAUUCGGAAGAACACCAGUGGCGAAGGCGACUUACUGGACACAUAUUGACGCUGAGGUGCGAAAGCGUGGGGAGCAAACAGG